Non-coding RNA from Lachancea thermotolerans CBS 6340, 108 nucleotides. The record is from Rfam. NCBI's taxonomy places the organism in Eukaryota, Fungi, Ascomycota, Saccharomycetes, Saccharomycetales, Saccharomycetaceae.
GUUUAUGAUGACUUUCCACUUUUCACGACGGUCAACUGUUUGUCUCUUUACUUGUUUGGUUUAGAGAUGUUGAUGAUAUUAUGCCUGUGACAGGGCGUGGUACUGAGC